Molecule: ribosomal RNA, 253 nt
Filed under: uncultured bacterium
Lineage: Bacteria
Description: partial 16S ribosomal RNA
Rfam family: Bacterial small subunit ribosomal RNA
Source: RNAcentral
UACGGGGGGGGCUAGCGUUGUUCGGAAUUACUGGGCGUAAAGGGCUCGUAGGCGGCCGACUAAGUCAGACGUGAAAUCCCUCGGCUCAACCGAGGAACUGCGUCUGAUACUGGCCGGCUGGAAUCCGGGAGAGGGAUGCGGAAUUCCAGGUGUAGCGGUGAAAUGCGUAGAUAUCUGGAGGAACACCGGUGGCGAAGGCGGCAUCCUGGACCGGCAUUGACGCUGAGGAGCGAAAGCCAGGGGAGCAAACGGG